Molecule: ribosomal RNA, 468 nt
Filed under: uncultured bacterium
Lineage: Bacteria
Description: partial 16S ribosomal RNA
Rfam family: Bacterial small subunit ribosomal RNA
Source: RNAcentral
GACGAACGCUGGCGGCGUGCUUAACACAUGCAAGUCGAACGGAAAGGCCCUGCUUUUGUGGGGUGCUCGAGUGGCGAACGGGUGAGUAACACGUGAGUAACCUGCCCUUGACUUUGGGAUAACUUCAGGAAGCUGGGGCUAAUACCGGAUAGGAGCUCCUGCUGCAUGGUGGGGGUUGGAAAGUUUCGGCGGUUGGGGAUGGACUCGCGGCUUAUCAGCUUGUUGGUGGGGUAGUGGCUUACCAAGGCUUUGACGGGUAGCCGGCCUGAGAGGGUGACCGGCCACAUUGGGACUGAGAUACGGCCCAGACUCCUACGGGAGGCAGCAGUGGGGAAUAUUGCACAAUGGGCGGAAGCCUGAUGCAGCAACGCCGCGUGCGGGAUGACGGCCUUCGGGUUGUAAACCGCUUUCGCCUGUGACGAAGCGUGCGUGACGGUAAUGGGUAAAGAAGCACCGGCUAACUACGUG